RNAcentral lists this ribosomal RNA (427 nucleotides) under uncultured Eubacterium sp. RNAcentral's name for it is "bacterial SSU rRNA". It matches the Rfam family "Bacterial small subunit ribosomal RNA", at positions 355 to 794 of the family's 1533-position model. The record is from RNAcentral. Lineage: Bacteria; Bacillati; Bacillota; Clostridia; Eubacteriales; Eubacteriaceae.
UGGGGAAUAUUGGGGCAAUGGGGGCGCAAGCCUGACCCAGCAACGCCGCGUGAAGGAAGAAGGCUUUCGGGUUGUAAACUUCUUUUAAGAGGGAAGAGCAGAAGACUGUACCUCUAGAAUAAGCCACGGCUAACUACGUGCCAGCAGCCGCGGUAAUACGUAGGUGGCAAGCGUUGUCCGGAAUUACUGGGUGUAAAGGGAGCGCAGGCGGGAAAUCAAGUUGGAUGUGAAAUGUCGGGGCUUAACCCCGGAACUGCAUCCAAAACUGAUAUUCUUGAGUGAAGUAGAGGUAGGCGGAAUUCCGAGUGUAGCGGUGAAAUGCGUAGAUAUUCGGAGGAACACCAGUGGCGAAGGCGGCCUACUGGGCUUUAACUGACGCUGAGGCUCGAAAGUGUGGGGAGCAAACAGGAUUAGAUACCCUGGUAGU